This 381-nucleotide long non-coding RNA is filed under the name Mytilus galloprovincialis (Mediterranean mussel). Lineage: Eukaryota; Metazoa; Mollusca; Bivalvia; Mytilida; Mytilidae. The record is from RNAcentral.
UGCUUUAAGGUUGCAUUUCUGUAAAUAUUGACAAUGCAAUUUCCCAUAGGAACUCCUUUUACGGCUAAAACUGUACCACUUUUACUAUGAAGUUUUGAAAAAAAUCUUAUCCUAGAAUUGAAAGUUCAUAUGCACCACAUUUUUUUUCAAAGGUCAAAAUAUAGGGCUGUGCGGCAUAUUUUCAACGUUUAUAUGCCCUGAACUUCUCAGAGUUUAAACUUACACUAAUUUUCUUAACUACCCCUACCUCGAAUGAAAGGUUACCACAGAUUUCAAUGUAAACAAUAUGCACGUGUUUAUUUACUGGUAACAUUCCCAAGUUCUGUCUCUGCGAUAUGGAACACAGAGAGCAUAACUGGGAACCAGUAUGUAAACAAAAUC